This 312-nucleotide long non-coding RNA is filed under the name Mytilus galloprovincialis (Mediterranean mussel). Lineage: Eukaryota; Metazoa; Mollusca; Bivalvia; Mytilida; Mytilidae. The record is from RNAcentral.
GUCGGGUUCUGUCUUGAAUUAAAUUGUGUUAUUGCAGAUACGUACAGUUUGAACGGUUAAAUGUUCAUAGUUUCUUUAUAACAUAGGAAAAUAUAUUAAAACAGUCAGUCGCUGAAUGAGAAUACAUAAUUUGUAAUGUUUUUGAAAGUAACUCACGCUGUGGUUAGCCACGAAUUGUUCUUUUGGACAACGUGUCCGCUGAAUGUUCUUUGCAGUUGUGCACACGACUCGCUGAGCAGUUUUCUCAUUACAAGAAAGGGGAAAGUAACGCGGAUUCCUACACUGUCCUUUAUAAAACUCCUAAAACUGGCG